Molecule: ribosomal RNA, 387 nt
Filed under: uncultured bacterium
Lineage: Bacteria
Description: bacterial SSU rRNA
Rfam family: Bacterial small subunit ribosomal RNA
Source: RNAcentral
AUUGAACGCUGGCGGCAUGCCUUACACAUGCAAGUCGAACGGCAGCACGGGAGCUUGCUCCUGGUGGCGAGUGGCGAACGGGUGAGUAAUACAUCGGAACGUGCCCAGGAGUGGGGGAUAACGUAGCGAAAGUUACGCUAAUACCGCAUAUUCUGUGAGCAGGAAAGCGGGGGAUCGCAAGACCUCGCGCUCUUGGAGCGGCCGAUGUCGGAUUAGCUAGUUGGUGAGGUAAAAGCUCACCAAGGCGACGAUCCGUAGCAGGUCUGAGAGGAUGAUCUGCCACACUGGGACUGAGACACGGCCCAGACUCCUACGGGAGGCAGCAGUGGGGAAUUUUGGACAAUGGGGGCAACCCUGAUCCAGCCAUGCCGCGUGAGUGAAGAAGGC